AACCGGAGUGUCGCAUCACCUCCGGACAGCUGAAUACCCCGCCUCUUUGCACAAAAUGUGCAGUGUUUUGGUUCAGUUUGCGGUGUUUUUAAAGCUACACAUUUGAGCAGGGGCUCGUGUUGUUGCAAAAAAAAUGAAGCCAAAAGACAAACCGACUUCAGCGCAGAGGAGUUCCCCGAAGGGACUACAAUUAACUUGAGUGAAAACCAGCAAGGUGACGGGUGAGAAACUCGGCAGCAUAAGUCUGUCGCCUGGCUUCACUAACCGGAAUCAUGUGGUUUCUCUAAGUGUUCGGUUGAGCCACCAGUAACUGGGCGAACAAUUACCAGUCAUUAGUUAAUGUGGCUGCACUGGUGCCUAACCGGUUAUAUGCCGAACCGAGCCGGUAACCAGCUUGACGGUAACCACCCCUGGUAUGAUCUGUCGAUUGUAAAAUAAUUAAAAUGACACCUGUCGUUUGAGAGACUAAUAAGCGGUAGUACCGUAUGAGCAGCCUGUUUUUGUUAUUGAUCUCAGGAGUGGGCACUCUCAUUCGAAAAAGGCCCGUAUUCAGGAUUUUGGGACAAUCUUUUUAGGUCAAAUGUUCAAAUCCAGGUGAGGACUCAGCUUGUAAUACAACAGCAAUUUCCUUGUUUAAAGCUGCCACCACUUUUUUUUAACCGGUUCGGUAGUCGUCACCAGAUUCCCCACAAGAACCCACACACAGAAAACAGUAACAAGUACAUUUUCCUUUAUUCUUUACAAAAAUAUACUGUUCAUAUAAGAUACCAAGUUUAGGUGAAUGCCUGCAGGAAUACGGUUUAGCUAUGUUACAAAAAAACAACUUUUAUAGAUUUUUAUAGUAUAUACUGUAGUGCCUUCCACUACAGUAUAUACCAUAUUCGGUUAACUCCGUAUGCUUGUGCUAACCAGCGCGAAUGCGUUCAGCGUCUGUUGAGAGGUGGGGAGGGGCUGCGUGAGUGUGUGCGUGCGUGCGCACGCGCUGCGCUUUAGUGGUGUUGUGUGAAGUGUGGCUAUUUUGAACUUCACUGUUCAAACUUCAAACCCCAGUGCCUCACUCCAGCUUCAGCUAUAUCUUCAGAUUCUGAUCUUUCGCGAUACAUUUUUAGCGGUGCAGCAGUGAAAGAGGUCACCCCUUAAACAGUUUCCAGCUGCGCCACUUUCCGAACGUUGUGUAGGCUAAACCGGUAUUGCGGUAUAAGACAAAUUUAUAUCAUAAAAAUAAUAAAAAACGGUUUUCGGUAUUAACCGGUAUACCCCCCAGUACUAACUGUCUGCUGACAGCUCCAUUAGUUGAGUUUCUAACUCUACGGGGAGAGCAAUGUCAUCAGCAUUUGGGUCCACAGAAAAGGGGUGCAACAUCCACAUAUUGCCAUCUGUGUGAAGAAUUCCACAAAUUUCUCAGCCAGCUAUGACAAAUGGUUUGUGACUGUAUCCAUUAUGCUCACAUGUAGAGCGUUCUCCAAAACUUCGUUUAAACCUGGAAACAUUGUUAGAGCCCGUUUCAGCAAUCCACCUACUUACAGCAUCAUUGGAAAGCGGUACUCUUCCAUGUAUGACCCGCUGCCUUACCUCUAGUUGCCUGGCGAUUGGAAGAAGACUCCGCACUGGCUUGUCAUCACCUCCCUGCUCUCCAGUUAUUUCUCAAAUCUUAUGAUUGGGACAGUGUGACUUGGCACUUAACCAUCUCUCCUAUUUGACUAUCCCUGCCAGCCCCUGGAAGAUGGACUCCCCCUUUGAGUCUGGUCCAUCCCAAGGUUUCUUCCUUCUUGGGAGUUUUUCCUUGCCACUGUCGCCUUUGGCUUACUCACUGGGGGCUUUGGGUGAGGAUGCUGUAAAGCGCUUUGAGACGAUGUAAUGUGAUAAUGUGCUAUACAAAAAAAAAUUUGUUGUUUGUUGUUACUCACAGUAACUUUCUUGCAGCUGUUUCUCCAACCAUCUCGUGGCACGUGUCAACAGUGGCUGACAACACCAGUUCUUCAGCGAUAGUGAAAGCUUUCUUACACUGGGCUACACGCCUAGCUACCAGGUAGCUGGACAUCUGGGCACUCUUAUACUGUGUCGAUAGGGAGACAGUGGUCUACUUCUGUAGUUGUACUUUCCAGCGAUUUUGGGGUGCUAUGUUUCAAGAUGUCGCUUCGGUUUCGACUGUUUUAGCACUUUCUUGGAAAGUGUUAAUCCACACUCCACACACUGGGCCUUGGGCUCAGUGUCAUGAAAUCCCCAGGUAAAAUAUUUAAUGUAUUGUGGGUUAUAUUUUCUGAAAAUUUUACUUUUUGUUUACCACAGUAUCGACUUUUUAUUCGCACUUUACAAACUUCUUGUAAACUUUCCCUUUUUGCUUUUGAUGUAGUAUAAUGAACGUCACAGCACAGACGCGUUUCGGCAUGAUGCCUUCCUCAGUGUGCUACUAGCCCUGUGCACUUUUAGUCUAAAAAGAUACAUCCCUGCUGGGCAUCAGGGCAUCAUCAGACCACACGCCGAAUGAGUGGGAUCACACCAGAUUACUGACAAAAUGUACAAAACAUCAGUGAGCAAUGGUAUGUAUAUCAUGUGUCAUCACAAAGCAUAAAAUAAUAGCAGAACAUAUAAAAAAAGAAAGUAUAUCAGAAAUCCAUACACAUAUAUAUGCCAAUAUUUAUAUACACAUGUAAACACAUACACAAGUAUAUACACAUAUCAAUAACAUCAAGAGAAGCAGGAGAGAGAAAAGUCUUCAUUCACACCACGCUGGAGUCACUGUGUUCAAGGUGAAAAUAUAACACGUUUCUCUUUUAAUUACACAGUUGUCCCGAUCCCCUCCUCUGGGAGACUGGUGAAUUACCUCUAGACCCAUAAAGUGUACUAUAACCCACUUGGGCAAGUGAGUAAGCCCUUGAAAAAUAUUGUGCGGCGUCACUGGCACAUCCUACGUAGUGAUCUAAAUCUGGGAUGAGCUUUCCAAGCUCCCCUGUGUGUUUGUUAUAAAAGGGCUUUAAAUUUAAGGGACCGCCUCAUUUGCUCAUAUUCCCCAACACCUGCACGUUGUUUACCCCUCCUGAUACCGGAGGGUAAUUAUAAAUGCUUUAACUAUGUUGCCUGUAAUAACAUGAUCACAGAAAAAUGCUUUAUACAUCUCCACGCUAAUAAAUCUUUUAAAGUAAAUGGUAGAAUCGCUUGUCUAUCGUCAUUUGUGGUAUACGUACUCUCCUGCCCAUAUUGGCAAUAUUAAGUAGGUAUUUAUGUUGUGGUUAAUGUCAUUUUGGGCAUGAUGACACAUGGCCCUUUUAUAGAUUUAUCAAGUACGCGGUGCAGCAUAAUACAUUUAAUUGUAUUUUAAGCUGUAUUUUACCAAAUAUCUCCCAGUUGUUGUGUCCUGCAUCCAGUUGUUCCUGAAUACUCUCAUUAGCUCAAAUUUCCAGCAAACAUUGCACCUCUGCUGUAGACCUAUGUGAUCCUUUUGCUGCUAUUUUUGUUAAAUAUUUGUCUCUGCCUGAUCAGUACAGCCUACCCGAUCCAUUCCCCCUCAUUAUAGUGUACCUGUUCACCUGUGUGUGUUGGUCACAUCAUUGAUGUCAUGUCUGUGUUCCAUGCUCAUGCACGACUAGUAGUCACACUAGAUGCGUACUGUGCCCAUGUCCAACUGAACUGCACUGGCCCACCUCUUCAAGGAUUGACAGCCCUGUAUUCACUUUUUGUAGCAAAUAUCCAAAUUGCGAUUGCAACCCGCUUUUUCACUGGAACACACAGAUGGCAGUUUGUGUUUGACUGCUGAGGUGCAUUAGUAAAUCCUUGUGAAAUGUAUUCAAAUGACUCGUGGGACAACCGGAAAUUUUGAAUGUUGAGUUAAAUCCAGGAACAAUAACAUCCCACCUGUACAUUGAACGUGGAUGCUCCAAACAAUACAAGAUGUUCACCUCCUUUGUAACGCCAUCUGUAAAAUAAAAGCUGCUAUCAAUACACACAUAAUACACACGCUCGGUGUGAAAGGAGUACUAGAGUACUCAACUGGUUGGUUGACACAAAACUUUGGUCUGGAUCUUUACUUUCUGCACCAGAAAUGUCCACCUCUGUAUUAAGACCAAUAUUUUUCUCAUGAUGGUUUAUUGAUGUGUCGUAUACAGUGCUUUCUGGUCAUAUUUGGUAUUGUAGGUUGCAAAAACGAUACAAAAUAGCAAAAAGUUUGUUAGGACAAUGCAUCCUAGAUUCAUGAGCAUUUAGUCCCAAGCCCAGUUCUCAGUUACUUGAGGAGUUGUUUGUAACUACCUUACAUUUUCUAGGAAAAUUAAGGAGAAAAAUAUGGUAGGUAUUUGCAAUUGCCAAAAGUAGGACAAAUUUAAUUGUGAUUAAUGCAGUCUGAUGCUUUUGCAAAAUUUGUAUUUUCGUAGUUAAUUAUAGGCUAGCUUUUUCUUAACAAAUUUAAGAUGUAUGGCAACUACUGUUUUUAUUAUCCACAGGAAAAUGUUUAUUAAUGGGCUAAGCUGGGAUACCUGCAAAAAGGACAGAUUAUCUGUCCAAGUUUCGUGAAGUCCUGGAUUGCACCAUUAAAACAGACCCCGUUACGGGUUGCUCCCGUGGUUUCGUAUUUGUCCUUUUUAAAGACACGGACAGCGUGAAAAAGGUCAGCAUGUGUGUGUGAGGUCUAGGUUCUGCCCUCUUAAUAUGAUCUAAUGCUUCUUUCGGUGUUGGAGUUCAAAGAGCACAAGCUUGAUGGAUAACUUAUUGAUCCUAAAAGAGCCAAAGCGCUGAAGGGGAAGGAGCUUCCCAGGAAAGUCUUUGUUGGGGGCCUGAGGCCUGAGACGUCAGAGGAUGAGAUCCGGGAAUAUUUUGAAAGUUUUGGCACAAUCAACAGCAUUGAGCUUCCAAUGGACACCAAGACCAAGGAGAGUGUGAAAUUAAGGUUGCCCAGCUGAAGGAAGUCUACAGGCAGCAGCAGCAGCACAGAGGGGACUGGAGCAGCUAUGGAGGAAUAGGAGCUUCCAGGGGUCGCGUACGGGGAGAUGAGACAGAGAAUCAUGAGGAAGUGGUCAGUGGGAAGGAAGAGUACCACAUGGAAGUAUCUGAAAGGGAGGACUCCUCCUCAGACUCCCUAGACCUGGAUGAAAUGGAAGAGGACUCUUUUCUUUCAAAAAAUGGAGAAAUUUCGUGGUCCUCAGCACCAUAUCAACAUUAUGAAGACGGAUCACGCUAGCCGCCUGUGCUAUUUUUCCACCUGAUUGAUGUGUCUGCCUACAAUGCUUUAAUGAUCUGGAGAGAAAUCAAUCCUUCCUGGAAGUCACAAAGGCAUAAUUGCAGGAGGUUCUUUUGGAGGAUUUGGGAAGAGCACUAAUAACAGCAUACAUCGAAGAGAGGCGGCAGCUUCCCUGUGGACCUGUUACUGCAGCCAUUGUGAAGGCUUUACGGGAGAGUUCCAGUAGUCCACAGGCUAAGAAAGCUGGAGAUGGAAAGAGAAAUUGGUGCCAUUUCUGCCCAUCGUGUACAGACACCAAAACAAACUCAAUUUGUAUAAAGUGUGGACACUACAUAUGUGGAAAACAUACUUUGAAAAUCCUUCGUUUGUGCCAUGUUUGUAAUGAGUAAAGUUGUCCAUGCUCGUUGUAUUAGUGGGAAGUCACACCCUAAUAUUCUGUUUCUGUCCUUUUAUUGUGUUACUGUGUUAACUCUCCACAAUGCUACUGAGUUAGCUAUUCCCCAGCUUAGUUCCCACCUGAAAGGACCCCAGCUCCGACACUAAGCUAAGAGCCUACGUAGGUGUCUAGUAAUCUGCCUGUUCAAAAAUCCAACAGCAGUAUUUAAUUGUAGUUAUUUAUGUUUUAGGAUUUCUGAUUAUAUUGUUGUGACAUAUUUAGAGAUGCACCUAUUGCAAUUUUCAGUCAAUCAAUUUGAUUUUCAAUCAAUUUGCCAAUUCCAAUUUCCAUGCAAGAAUGAUGU
Long non-coding RNA from Brienomyrus brachyistius, 5910 nucleotides. RefSeq lists it as uncharacterized. The record is from RefSeq and is a predicted model, not a curated record. NCBI's taxonomy places the organism in Eukaryota, Metazoa, Chordata, Actinopteri, Osteoglossiformes, Mormyridae. The transcript is spliced from 4 exons.